RNAcentral lists this ribosomal RNA (496 nucleotides) under uncultured bacterium. Its description in RNAcentral is "partial 16S ribosomal RNA". It matches the Rfam family "Bacterial small subunit ribosomal RNA", at positions 29 to 507 of the family's 1533-position model. The record is from RNAcentral.
AUGAACGCUGGCGGCGUGCCUAAUACAUGCAAGUCGAGCGAACAGACGAGGAGCUUGCUCCUCUGACGUUAGCGGCGGACGGGUGAGUAACACGUGGAUAACCUACCUAUAAGACUGGGAUAACUUCGGGAAACCGGAGCUAAUACCGGAUAAUAUAUUGAACCGCAUGGUUCAAUAGUGAAAGACGGUUUUGCUGACACUUAUAGAUGGAUCCGCGCCGCAUUAGCUAGUUGGUAAGGUAACGGCUUACCAAGGCGACGAUGCGUAGCCGACCUGAGAGGGUGAUCGGCCACACUGGAACUGAGACACGGUCCAGACUCCUACGGGAGGCAGCAGUAGGGAAUCUUCCGCAAUGGGCGAAAGCCUGACGGAGCAACGCCGCGUGAGUGAUGAAGGUCUUCGGAUCGUAAAACUCUGUUAUUAGGGAAGAACAAAUGUGUAAGUAACUAUGCACGUCUUGACGGUACCUAAUCAGAAAGCCACGGCUAACUACGUG